RNAcentral lists this ribosomal RNA (541 nucleotides) under uncultured bacterium. RNAcentral describes it as "partial 16S ribosomal RNA". It matches the Rfam family "Bacterial small subunit ribosomal RNA", at positions 355 to 889 of the family's 1533-position model. The record is from RNAcentral.
UAGGGAAUCUUCCACAAUGGACGCAAGUCUGAUGGAGCAACGCCGCGUGAGUGAAGAAGGUUUUCGGACCGUAAAGCUCUGUUGUUGGUGAAGAAGGAUAGAGGUAGUAACUGGCCUUUAUUUGACGGUAAUCAACCAGAAAGUCACGGCUAACUACGUGCCAGCAGCCGCGGUAAUCGUAGGUGGCAAGCGUUGUCCGGAUUUAUUGGGCGUAAAGCGAGCGCAGGCGGAAGAAUAAGUCUGAUGUGAAAGCCCUCGGCUUAACCGAGGAAUUGCAUCGGAAACUGUUUUCUUGAGUGCAGAAGAGGAGAGUAGAACUCCAUGUGUAGCGGUGGAAUGCGUAGAUAUAUGGAAGAAUACCAGUGGCGAAGGCGGCUCUCUGGUCUGCAACUGACGCUGAGGCUCGAAAGCAUGGUAGCGAACAGGAUUAGAUACCCUGGUAGUCCAUGCCGUAAACGAUGAGUGCUAAGUGUUGGGAGGCUUCCGCCUCUCAGUGCUGCAGCUAACGCAUUAAGCACUCCGCCUGGGGGAGUACGACCGC